Gasterosteus aculeatus aculeatus (three-spined stickleback) is the source of this 2243-nucleotide long non-coding RNA. Lineage: Eukaryota; Metazoa; Chordata; Actinopteri; Perciformes; Gasterosteidae. The record is from Ensembl.
UAGAUCGGAAGUUGACUGCGAAAACGAAACGGCCGCUAGCUGCAGUCAGUUACAUCAAGAUGGAGAGACCUUUUUACAUUGGAAGUAAAACAAACAGUGGUGCGACAAACAGCGGAGAACUGUGCAGAGGAAUUCCUCCACGUGUCAAACAGAAGGGAAGCGAUCUACCGGCACCACCUUGGCGAUCGACCUAUUGGGCACCGCGGCCUUAGGUCAAUGAAGCUGCCAUUAUUGCAAAAAUCAACUUUAAAAAGGAAAGAACAUGCUUACAUGCACAUUCAAAGCUUUCUCUGCCCCCUGUCUCUCUUUUACUUGUACAUACUGUGAAUGCAGACAGAUAGAGACAACACAAUCCCUUUCCCCUGCCAGAGAAUUACCCCCCCCCCCCCUUACUUUAUGGAAGCCAAGAAGAAAACAAACCAACAAGGAUUUACUAAAAAGUAUUAAUCACGUUGGUAAAGGGAAGCCUACACUGAGAUUUGUGUUAUUGUGGUACCCUAGAGAAGAUGAGUGUCUCCUCAUUUAAUGCCAGACUAUCUCUCUAUUAGGGAAGGACAAGAGCAGGGAGAUGAGAGAAGGCAUAAAAGAAAUACCGCUUUAAAACAACACUGCUGCUUAUCUCUCCCAUCCUGCCCCCACGCUCUUCCUCUGUUUCAACCUCCCUCAGUUCCCCCUGUUGCAUUAUAAUGAAGUUAUCCCACAGCAGAGUUCUUCUCAGCCCAAGCUGUCUUAAGACAGAGGAGGGAUGGAGGGAGCAGCAGAAUCACAGAGAGGAGGAAGUAUCAAAGUCAACAAGGAGGAUAAAGCCUGGGAAGAAGUGAAGGAGAUGGGGAAUAAGGGAAGAGGCAGUGAUUGAAGUUGAUAUGUGACAUCGUGCAAGACUUGCAAAAAUCAUACUCCAGCUAUUUCAUGAUAUUCAACGAUUCCCAUUUAUAUUAGUGAAUAAUGCUAAUGAGUGCAAUACCAAGCAAAUACAUUUGUGUAAAAAUACCGCUAAAGGCACAAUAUUGGCAUUAAUAUUAAAAUAUUUUUCACAUUCAUUUGGAAAGUGUGCUCAGAAAUGUCAUCACAUAAUUUCCUCUGCAGGGGAUUUCUUAUUUGCACAUUGUGCUUUUUGUUCUCAACAAUGACACAAAGACAUGCAAAAAGUCAAAUUGGACAUGUGUUGUUGAAAUUGACAUUUCCCUCUUAUACUUGGUACGGUAAACACAUGAAAAAUACAGUGCGAGGGUAUCAGUCCCAGUCACAGCAGACAUUGUUAUUGCUACAACAGGCUGAGACCACCAGUGAAAUAAUCUAAUGUAAUAUAAUGGUCUAAAGGUCAAUCCACAAUCGUAGAAUGGGAUAACGGUUAAUCGGCUGUCCUCCCUAUUGCAAAGCAAGGAGCUAAAUUCGAUCACACUCGGGACAGUGGACGUGAGCAGUUAAAUUAAAUUGUGACCAAAUGCAUGUAGUGGAGACCUAUGCUGCGCCACUGCAAAGCCUUUGUCAAGUGCCAUAUGGCAUCUUAACAAAAACAACCCUUAUGACAACGGACCCCGUUCAUUUGGCAGGUCAUUGCAAUUCAGAUGUUAUUGCUGCCUCAUGUGGUGCUUGGACUUCACAAUUUGUAUUCGAAUGUCAUUUAGGGACUGAUGUUCCUUCCUCUGCUCAGAAAUGUCCCUGAGGGGCUUCAAAGUCACCCAAUAGACCCCCAGGAGAGUCUGACCCAUACAAGUAAGCGACUUUGUCCCAAUCCAGUGUUGUCCACCACUGCGCAUCCCCAUGCUGAGGUAGAAUUCAGAACAAUAGGACAUGCGGAGAAUGUAAUCAGAAGAAGUCAAGGGACCCUCAGGGGCCUCCGGACCACAAUGUCUACAAUAGCGUGGCAAGGCAAGGACUUGGGUUGUGGGAGGAAACUUAUUUUUCAAUCUUCUGCUCACCUCCUACACCUCAUGGGUAAAGUUUAGGUUCUCAUUAGAUGAAGCACCAGAGAGCUGGGAGAAAGUUGCAGAGAGAAAGGAGCUCACUAAGUCACAACAAGGCGCCACAUUGCCUUAUUCGUGGAAAAUCUUAAUUUAAUGUAAUUGCGGCUCAAAACAAGGUCCAAGCUCUCUCAUGUCCACUCAGAGACUGUGAGAAACCUCAAUAAAGCGCUCCUAUCGCUAAUAUCGCAGCAUAUUUUUCCCUUUCAUUCUUAAAGUCAGUAAAAUAAAAGAACGAAUCCACAUGUACACAAACACAGUGUAGAGGUGACAUUUAAA